Molecule: ribosomal RNA, 468 nt
Filed under: uncultured bacterium
Lineage: Bacteria
Description: partial 16S ribosomal RNA
Rfam family: Bacterial small subunit ribosomal RNA
Source: RNAcentral
GACGAACGCUGGCGGCGUGCUUAACACAUGCAAGUCGAACGGAAAGGCCCUGCUUUUGUGGGGUGCUCGAGUGGCGAACGGGUGAGUAACACGUGAGUAACCUGCCCUUGACUUUGGGAUAACUUCAGGAAACUGGGGCUAAUACCGGAUAGGAGCUCCUGCUGCAUGGUGGGGGCUGGAAAGUUUCGGCGGUUGGGGAUGGACUCGCGGCUUAUCAGCUUGUUGGUGGGGUAGUGGCUAACCAAGGCUUUGACGGGUAGCCGGCCUGAGAGGGUGACCGGCCACAUUGGGACUGAGAUACGGCCCAGACUCCUACGGGAGGCAGCAGUGGGGAAUAUUGCACAAUGGGCGGAAGCCUGAUGCAGCAACGCCGCGUGCGGGAUGACGGCCUUCGGGUUGUAAACCGCUUUCGCCUGUGACGAAGCGUGAGUGACGGUAAUGGGUAAAGAAGCACCGGCUAACUACGUG